UACGUAGGGUGCGAGCGUUGCCCGGAUUUAUUGGGCGUAAAGGGCGCGCAGGCGGCUACGCACGUCCGUUGUGAAAUCGCUCGGCUCAACUGGGCGGGGUCAGCGGAUACGGCGUAGCUGGAGCAAGCUAGGGGGCAAUGGAAUUCCCGGUGUAGUGGUGGAAUGCGUAGAGAUCCGGAGGAACCCCAGAGGCGAAGGCGACGCCCUGGCUCGUACCUGACGCUCAGCCACGAAAGCAUGGGGAGCGAACGGG
This 253-nucleotide ribosomal RNA is filed under the name uncultured bacterium. RNAcentral's name for it is "partial 16S ribosomal RNA". It matches the Rfam family "Bacterial small subunit ribosomal RNA", at positions 524 to 776 of the family's 1533-position model. The record is from RNAcentral.